CGUGUAGGCGGUUAAGCAAGUCAGGUGUGAAAUCCCUUGGCUCAACCAAGGAAGCGCGCUUGAAACUGUUUGACUAGAGUACAGGAGGGGAAAGUGGAAUUCCCAGUGUAGAGGUGAAAUUCAUAGAUAUUGGGAGGAACACCGGUAGCGAAGGCGGCUUUCUGGCCUGAUACUGACGCUGAGACGCGAAAGCGUGGGGAGCAAACA
This 207-nucleotide ribosomal RNA is filed under the name uncultured bacterium. RNAcentral describes it as "partial 16S ribosomal RNA". It matches the Rfam family "Bacterial small subunit ribosomal RNA", at positions 568 to 774 of the family's 1533-position model. The record is from RNAcentral.